This 160-nucleotide ribosomal RNA is filed under the name uncultured bacterium. Its description in RNAcentral is "partial 16S ribosomal RNA". It matches the Rfam family "Bacterial small subunit ribosomal RNA", at positions 355 to 507 of the family's 1533-position model. The record is from RNAcentral.
UAGGGAAUCUUCCGCAAUGGACGAAAGUCUGACGGAGCAACGCCGCGUGAGUGAUGAAGGCUUUCGGGUCGUAAAACUCUGUUGUUAGGGAAGAACAAGUACGAGAGUAACUGCUCGUACCUUGACGGUACCUAACCAGAAAGCCUCGGCUAACUACGUG